CACACCUUUACUCUGCGAUUAUCACAGUUGCUGAAAUGUAUAAGCUUUUCAUCUCCUUGUCAGGGACCCUCAGCUGAACCCAGACUUGGCUCAUUGCCCUCAGCUAAUGAAGCUGGCACCUGAUUAGCUGAAGACUCCAACAGGCACCUGUAGCAGGCCUGGGACUCUGGCUACUCAAUAGUGUUCCAAGUCUACAGCUGUGUUUCUGGUCCUGCUUCCUAUUCUUAACUUCCUUCUUGCUCCUAGCCCUCAGUCUGGACCCUCCCCUCUCCAUGCCUGCUCCUUGUCCCUGCUUCCGCUCCUGGUUUCCUGCUCCUGGUUGUUCGUCCCUGCUUCUGGUUGCUGCCCAUACUCCAGCUGAUACUCUGGCUCCAAUACCUGACUCCUGGUUUCUGGUACUCAGCUCCAGCUUGCUUCCUGGACUUGAUAAGUUGGCUCCUACCUUGGCCGUUAGGCCUGGCUCUGUUUCAACCCUUAAGCCUCCCUUCUGCCCUGACCAUUAGGCAAAAUGUCACCUGCGCCCUGGUCACUAUGAUCCUUUUACAAUCCAUUCACUCUCAUCCAUAGAUUCCAUCUACCACUGUUAAAGGACAAAAGGUUUGGGGAAGGUUGUCAAUGCCACCUUUCUCUGUUCCUGUGUAACAGAGUGACUUGUCCCCUGUGCUGCUAGAGAGAUUGGGGCUAAACUAACCCUGAUUACAGGAUGAGCCCCACCUCCCCAUUCAUCUGUGACAGAAGAGGCUCUGAAAGGGGCCUAUUCAUCUCAAUGUGAUGUUCUCAAUUGACUGAGGACACCCAGUGGAGAUUAAUACAACCUCAAUCAAUAGCUCAGAGAUUUGUGAACCAGUCCAUUUAUCACAGGUGUUCCCACCCUCCUCUUGAGUGCUUUAGAGCCUGUAAUAUGCAUGAAGCAUGCCUGUUCUCAGCUCCUCAUGCAAAGGGACAGGACUUCCCAAGAUCUCUGGCUUACACUGGGGACAGGGAGGGCAACUCAGACACUCACAAAAGGGCAAGCUCCCCCCGAGUCUGACUCAUUUGAGCCGGGUCCAACCUGUGUAGAUAGGCACAGGCCCCCCAGAUAGUGGCACACAUAUUAGAGCAUUGAGAGUGGUUCAGACAGCCCCUCAGGGCAAGGUCCCCCCCAUAUCCCAGCCAAGGCCAAUCAGAGGGGGGACCCAGAAGGGCCAUUUGGCCUGGGCCUCAAGCUCAAAGGGUGCCUCAAAUUUAGACACUUGUUAAUUUUUUGGCAUUUGAUAAGUUUUGCAACUUGUUUUUAGCGCAUCCCUAUCGGACCAAAAUGUGACACACACUCUCAGCUUAGAGGUGCAAAUUUAAGCAAAUAAGAGAUGUGAUUUGGUAAAAGAUAUAUUUUUUUUGUUAACUGAUAUAGAUUUUAUCAUAUUAAAAAGUUAAAAAUGUUCAUAAAUAUUAAUAAAAAUAUAUCGGUUCUGAUGGCACAAGAUUAGACCGUGAUGAACGUGUCCUCUCAGAUCAGCUGAUUAUAUAAACAAACCACUACUAGUGGCUGGUGCUGGAUCAAGUGCAUGUUGAAAGGUAGAGAAUUGUUACAUUUUAGUGUCUUUAUUGUUUUACGUCUAGUUGACUAAGGAAUUAUUUGUGUGUGGGAAUUCCUCAUUAUUAUCUUCAUAUGGUAGCUAAAAGAGGUGACUGGUUGGUUGGUUGAGCCCUCGCUUGGUAGCUUGGCCAUCAUCAUAGGCUUUCGUAGUGUAUAGGCCCAGAUUCAAGGUGAACAUUUGUGAGGACAAUCUUGUAGAGUGAGUUUUGUGAGGGGAAAUGUUUGAAAUGUUUGGACAUUAACCCUGUCUGUAUCCGUGUCUGUGCUUACUAUAUGUAAGUCAUCCCUUUGUCUUCAGCUCAGCCAGUUAUAUUAUACCUUGUGUGAUUGAGUUUUGAUUCAGUGAUAAAGAUAAUAACCUGUUUGUUACAUUUUGUGUUCUUAAUUAGUAUUCCUUCGUUGUAAAUCUUUUCAGCAUUUGUGUACAUGUUUACAGUAGAAGAUUUCAAGUGUAGACAAGCUACUUAUUUACAGCAGGAUAUUUCAAGUGUGGAUAGGAUGGGGCAUCAACAGACGUUGGAGGAAGUUGAAAGACCAAAUCUCAUCACAUGAGAGUUCAAUGUCACACAAAGAAAACUAUGUUGCAUGGAAAUCAGCCAGUAGGGCAGCAUCAGCUGAAAGUUCAGUUGAGAAUUUACUCUUGACUGAACUCUCUACAGAAACUAAUAACUGGAAAAAACUUCUUGAGCACAUCCUGAAUGUCAUCCUUUUUCUUUCUGAGUGGGGAUUGGCUUUCUUUGGUUCCAGUCAAUGUAUUGGUGAUCAUGCAAAUGGAAAAUUUCUAGGCAUAGUUGAGCUCCUCAGCAAAUAUGACCCACUUUAUCAGAGCAUCUUAAACAUGUUCGAGAAUUGCAAGAGAGUCAAAAGCGCAUGCAAGUCCAUUAUCUCUCCACACGCAUACAAAAUGAGUUUAUUGAGCUAUGUGGGUCAUUCGUACAAACAACAAUUCUUGAUGAAAUUCGAAAUGGCAAGUAUUUUUAAUCAUGGUUGAUGCUACUCUAGAUUGUUCUCACAAGGAACAGACUACUAUGGUUAUUCGAUAUGUUAAAGUUGUAGACAGCUCAAAAUUUUCAGUUGAAGAAAGGUUUAUUUUGUUUGAUAAUUUCAUGAGAAAAACUGGAAAAGAAAUUGCUGCUUGAAUACUAGCAGGUUUUAAGUUAGAUUUUCAAGUGUGCAUUAGUCAAGUCUAUGACAAUGGAUCUAAUAUGGCUGGGAAGUACAAAGGUGUACAAGCAGUUCUGCUUGAGCAUAAUUGAAACUGUAUUUUCUCCCGCUGUGGAAACUACACACUAAACCUUGUAGGUGUUUACUAUGCUGAAUCAUGCAAAGAGGCAAUUACUUACUUUGGAACUGUUCAGCAAAUGUACAAUCUCUUCAGUAGCAGUCCACAAAGGUGGGAAAUUCUGAAGCAAUAUCUUGCUGUUUUACUGCAUGGGAUGUCUAAAACUAGGUGGUCUGCAUGGAUUGAUGGUGUUCAACCAGUUGCGCAGCAUUUGAAUUCAGUGAGAGAGGUUUUAAAUGAGCUUGAAUCUCUCAAUCUCACUGCACCGGCUUGAACUGAACUUCAGAAUGCAUUCCAAUUUGGACAUGUGCUUCUGAAUAGACUGAUAUCAUCUUUGUUGAUUAAGCUACUUACAAUGAUCCACCAAAUUAAUCUGGUAAUUGAAGCAUGCAAUGCUACACUUGAUGUUGAGAGGGAUAACAUUGAAAGUCUUAUCAAUGACAUUCAACAGAUUCGUGAACAAUGGGAUGCGAUCCUGACUGAAUCCAAAUUAGUAGCACAGAAUAUGGGCAUUUCAUCUGAGUUCUCCACCAAUCGCAACUUACCUACUGAAUCCAAUGCCGAGCAGCGUUAUAGGUUCAACCGACUGAGUAAUGAAGCUCUACUUUCUGCAUCUGAACAAUUUCAGCAACAGUACAACAAAGAAAUCUCAAAAGAUCUCAGUGAUGAGGUCAUCUUCCUCAAAUGAAUAUAUUCCACGAACUUUAAAUUGGAUCACAAACCAAAGGAAUUGCUUCAAGAAAUACUCGAACUUGGACUCUCUGGCGUGUUUCUUAAUAUCACAAUUGCAUUGCAUAUUUUUGUCAGUUUGCCUGCCUCAGUGGCUUCAGGUGAAUGCACCUUCAACAUGUUGAAGCAGGUAAAGAGCCAUCACCAUUCAACUAUGGGACAAGAGCAUUUGAAUGGGCUUGCCAUGCUUAAUAUCAACUGUGACAUUGCACUAAAGCUCAAUUUAAAGCACAUUUCCUCAAUAAUUAGUACAUUUGCACAGAAAACGGCUAGAAAAGCAUUUGUUAAUAAAAAAUAUUCAAAUUA
This is a long non-coding RNA of Malaclemys terrapin pileata, 3893 nucleotides long. RefSeq lists it as uncharacterized. The transcript is spliced from 2 exons. Lineage: Eukaryota; Metazoa; Chordata; Testudines; Emydidae. The record is from RefSeq and is a predicted model, not a curated record.